UGGGUUAGUGGCGGACGGGUGAGUAACGCGUGGGUAACCUGCCUUACACAGGGGGAUAACACUUAGAAAUAGGUGCUAAAACCGCAUAAGCGCACAGCUUCGCAUGAAGCGGUGUGAAAAACUCCGGUGGUGUAAGAUGGACCCGCGUCUGAUUAGCUUGUUGGCGGGGUAACGGCCCACCAAGGCGACGAUCAGUAGCCGGCCUGAGAGGGCGGACGGCCACAUUGGGACUGAGACACGGCCCAAACUCCUACGGGAGGCAGCAG
RNAcentral lists this ribosomal RNA (266 nucleotides) under uncultured bacterium. RNAcentral describes it as "partial 16S ribosomal RNA". It matches the Rfam family "Bacterial small subunit ribosomal RNA", at positions 88 to 354 of the family's 1533-position model. The record is from RNAcentral.